UUUGAAAAUGUGGAGGAUUCCUACAGGAGCGACCUGAGAUCACAUGUGGACACCCUAAGAUCUUCCCUUAUCUUCCAAGGAUUGUGUUCUUAUGUGUUCUCAGGUCGCCCCUGCCGGGCUUCCUCCGCCACUUGAUGA
This 138-nucleotide microRNA precursor is filed under the name Manihot esculenta (cassava). Its description in RNAcentral is "miR398 stem-loop (mes-MIR398)". Its record names the gene mes-MIR398. The stretch from base 14 to 123 matches the Rfam family "MIR398 microRNA precursor family". The record is from miRBase by way of RNAcentral. Lineage: Eukaryota; Viridiplantae; Streptophyta; Magnoliopsida; Malpighiales; Euphorbiaceae.